CACAAUUUUCUUUGAAAAAAAAAAUAUAUUCUGCCGAGAUCCCCCUCUUCUCUCCCUUACGCGUUCCUCUUCGUUACUUCCCUAUGAUCUACAAAUUUCAUUCCAAAAUUAUUUCAGUCAAAGGAAACAAUUAAAUCUCACAUUUAUUUGUGAUAUCAAAUUCCUCAAAUUUUCAAUUGCUCCAAACCCAAUCACUUUUAAUUCUAAUUGAUUGGAGAAUCAAUUACUCACUCCACUCCAGGAACGGUUAUUUAUACCUUAUUCUGCUCUUCCAGCAGUCUCCUACACAUUCACUCAUUUUCCAAUUCACAAACCAAGAGCAAAGAGUUGAGACAAAGAUCCUUCAUCGUCCAUUGCUUUCCACUCUAACAAGAGAGAAGGAAGAAAAGGGAGUAGCCGGGAAGAACCAAGUCCGACCCCCCUUUCACUCUCUUGACACUCUCCGUUCGACCCCGAGAUCGGAGGUUAGAGGCAUGUUGUUCAGAAUCCUUUCACCCUUCAAUCCACCCAGUCGCAAAUUCACUUCUCCGGAAGGUAUACACAUUUCUCACCCAAUUUCAAAUUCUUACUACUGCAUUCAUACAUCCUUCACUACCGUUUAACAAAAAUUUGAAACCAAAUCGACUGAUUGAGAGUAAUCGAAACAAACCAAGUAAAAGAUCAAACUUUUAAUCGAAAAUUUUGAACUUAUCUGUGGGAUUGUUCGGGGUGAGAUCGAGACAGCCGGAGCGGCGACGCAGCGUCUGCUGCGGCGCCGGGCUUUGGCGGUGGAGCAGAUAUGUGUACACCUACGGUAGACCGUGUGUUAGCAUACGGGUUGGCCGGUCUAGUGACUUGGUUUGUGGCCACAUUCCAAGUCAUGUAUGAGCAGAUAUGGUUGACGUUUAUGGGAAAAUGGUCGGCCGACCGCGAUUUUUGAAUGAUGGAAUAUUUUGGUGGCUCGGGCAUUUCUAAAGUUAAAACCCCGAUGGUUACCUGAAAUUGGUUGAGCGGCGACGAGCUUGGGUAGUGUUGAGUCGAACCUUAAUUAUUCUUGGAUUUAUUUUGAACUUCGAGGGGCGUCGUGUCUUCAUACAUGGUGUCACUCUUACUCUUGAAUGCUUCCGCUAAGUAAUACUAUUUUUCGCAAAUGAUGUUUUUGAACCCCUUUUCCCUCUUGGAUUAUAAAUUAUGAUAAUUGUUGACUUGGGUUUUAAAACCUAAACACUUACUCUGAUUUUUCCCUUGUUAUUUGAGUAUUAAUUAUCUUUGUCAAA
Molecule: long non-coding RNA, 1256 nt
Organism: Salvia splendens (bonfire salvia)
Lineage: Eukaryota; Viridiplantae; Streptophyta; Magnoliopsida; Lamiales; Lamiaceae
Exons: 4
Source: RefSeq, a predicted model, not a curated record